Molecule: ribosomal RNA, 425 nt
Filed under: uncultured bacterium
Lineage: Bacteria
Description: bacterial SSU rRNA
Rfam family: Bacterial small subunit ribosomal RNA
Source: RNAcentral
AGGGAAUCUUCCACAAUGGGCGGAAGCCUGAUGGAGCAACGCCGCGUGAGUGAAGAAGGUUUUCGGAUCGUAAAACUCUGUUGUAAGGGAAGAACAAGUACAGUAGUAACUGGCUGUACCUUGACGGUACCUUAUUAGAAAGCCACGGCUAACUACGUGCCAGCAGCCGCGGUAAUACGUAGGUGGCAAGCGUUGUCCGGAAUUAUUGGGCGUAAAGCGCGCGCAGGCGGUUUCUUAAGUCUGAUGUGAAAGCCCACGGCUCAACCGUGGAGGGUCAUUGGAAACUGGGAGACUUGAGUGCAGAAGAGAAGAGCGGAAUUCCACGUGUAGCGGUGAAAUGCGUAGAGAUGUGGAGGAACACCAGUGGCGAAGGCGGCUCUUUGGUCUGUAACUGACGCUGAGGCGCGAAAGCGUGGGGAGCGAAC